AACGAUCUUAUAUUUCUUCACAGUGGGAGUACUAAUUUAGUUUUUGGACUUUAUGUUGCUCUUUCUAUAGCACAAGUCGAUCUUCACCAUGUGAAAGAUACUAUAGAUGAUGAAAAACGCAUGGGAUGAAGCAGUUGCCACACCGGCGCGGCGGUACGUCCCGCUGAAACAAAGAUGCAUACACAUACAUACAUUGUACUACACCACAUCAUCAAAUCACAAAGGGAGCAUUAAUUGAUCCACUACAUGGAGCGCGCGAUGCGGAUGCAGAACAGCUAUCGACGGAAAAGGAAGGUUCUAGCCGAUGAUCUGGUCGAGGACGCCGGUGUUCUUGAGGCCGAGCACGAUGCCGACGCCCAAGAUGUGGCCGAAGGAGCCGCAUGCGAGCGUGUCGGCGAGAGUGAAGCCGGCCGGGUCGCCCGUCUGCAGCCCGGACUCGCGCGCCUCCAGCUUGAGCCCCGCCGUCGCCUUCCUGUUCGCCGACGGCGCCAGCCCGAACCGCCCGGCGAACAGCAUCAGGGUCGUCGUGGUCACCAUGAUCUGCAUCCGCAUAUGGUAGUAAUUAUGUCAACGAACCAAACAAUCAAUGCCUGACUCAUUCGCAUGUAUACGUAGUAUGUGUGUGAUCUUACGAUAUUGGUGGAGGAG
This 648-nucleotide long non-coding RNA is filed under the name Triticum aestivum (bread wheat). RNAcentral describes it as "long non-coding RNA (TAES_LNC022478)". The record is from RNAcentral. Lineage: Eukaryota; Viridiplantae; Streptophyta; Magnoliopsida; Poales; Poaceae.